UGGGGAAUCUUGCACAAUGGGGGCAACCCUGAUGCAGCGACGCCGCGUGAGCGAUGAAGCCCUUCGGGGCGUAAAGCUCUUUCGACCGGAACGAUAAUGACGGUACCGGGAGAAGAAGCUGCGGCUAACUACGUGCCAGCAGCCGCGGUAAUACGUAGGCAGCAAGCGUUGUUCGGAGUUACUGGGCGUAAAGAGUGCGUAGGCGGUUUUCUAAGUUCGGUGUGAAAUCUCCCGGCUUAACUGGGAGGGUGCGCCGAAGACUGGGAAGCUGGAGUGUGGGAAAGGCAGGCGGAAUUCCUGGUGUAGCGGUGAAAUGCGUAGAUAUCAGGAGGAACACCUGCGGUGUAGACGGCUUGCUAGACCAUAACUGACGCUGAGGCACGAAAGCGUGGGUAGCAAACA
RNAcentral lists this ribosomal RNA (402 nucleotides) under uncultured bacterium. RNAcentral describes it as "bacterial SSU rRNA". It matches the Rfam family "Bacterial small subunit ribosomal RNA", at positions 355 to 774 of the family's 1533-position model. The record is from RNAcentral.